Molecule: ribosomal RNA, 541 nt
Filed under: Penicillium kewense
Lineage: Eukaryota; Fungi; Ascomycota; Eurotiomycetes; Eurotiales; Aspergillaceae
Description: LSU rRNA
Rfam family: Eukaryotic large subunit ribosomal RNA
Source: RNAcentral
AGCGGCAAGAGCUCAAAUUUGAAAGCUGGCUCCUUCGGGGUCCGCAUUGUAAUUUGUAGAGGAUGCUUCGGGAGCGGUCCCCAUCUAAGUGCCCUGGAACGGGACGUCAUAGAGGGUGAGAAUCCCGUAUGGGAUGGGGUGUCCGCGCCCGUGUGAAGCUCCUUCGACGAGUCGAGUUGUUUGGGAAUGCAGCUCUAAAUGGGUGGUAAAUUUCAUCUAAAGCUAAAUAUUGGCCGGAGACCGAUAGCGCACAAGUAGAGUGAUCGAAAGAUGAAAAGCACUUUGAAAAGAGAGUUAAAAAGCACGUGAAAUUGUUGAAAGGGAAGCGCUUGCGACCAGACUCGCUCGCGGGGUUCAGCCGGCAUUCGUGCCGGUGUACUUCCCCGCGGGCGGGCCAGCGUCGGUUUGGGCGGUCGGUCAAAGGCCCUCGGAAGGUAACGCCCCUAGGGGCGUCUUAUAGCCGAGGGUGCAAUGCGACCUGCCUAGACCGAGGAACGCGCUUCGGCUCGGACGCUGGCAUAAUGGUCGUAAACGACCCGUC